Molecule: ribosomal RNA, 253 nt
Filed under: uncultured bacterium
Lineage: Bacteria
Description: partial 16S ribosomal RNA
Rfam family: Bacterial small subunit ribosomal RNA
Source: RNAcentral
GACAGAGGGGGCAAGCGUUGCUCGGAAUCAUUGGGCGUAAAGCGCACGUAGGCGGUUUGUUAUGUCGGAUGUGAAAGCCCUUGGCUCAACUGAGGAAGUGCAUCCGAAACUGGCAAGCUAGAGUACUAAAGAGGAUCGCGGAAUUCCCGGUGUAGCGGUGAAAUGCGUAGAUAUCGGAAGGAACAUCAGUGGCGAAAGCGACUUCCUGGACCAAUACUGACGCUCAUGUGCGAAAGCGUGGGGAGCAAACAGG